Molecule: ribosomal RNA, 443 nt
Filed under: uncultured bacterium
Lineage: Bacteria
Description: partial 16S ribosomal RNA
Rfam family: Bacterial small subunit ribosomal RNA
Source: RNAcentral
CCUACGGGCGGCAGCAGUGGGGAAUAUUGGUCAAUGGGCGCAAGCCUGACCCAGCAACGCCGCGUGAAGGAAGAAGGCUUUCGGGUUGUAAACUUCUUUUCUGAGGGACGAAGAAAGUGACGGUACCUCAGGAAUAAGCCACGGCUAACUACGUGCCAGCAGCCGCGGUAAUACGUAGGUGGCCAGCGUUAUCCGGAUUUAUUUGGUGUAAAGGCCGUGUAGGCGGGAAAGCAAGUGAGAUGUGAAAACUCAGGGCUCAACCCUGAGCCUGCAUUUGAAACUGUUUUUCUUGAGUGCUGGAGAGGCAAUCGGAAUUCCGUGUGUAGCGGUGAAAUGCGUAGAUAUACGGAGGAACACCAGUGGCGAAGGCGGAUUGCUGGACAGUAACUGACGCUGAGGCGCGAAAGCGUGGGGAGCAAACAGGAUUAGAUACCCUAGUAGUC